This 451-nucleotide ribosomal RNA is filed under the name uncultured bacterium. RNAcentral's name for it is "partial 16S ribosomal RNA". It matches the Rfam family "Bacterial small subunit ribosomal RNA", at positions 354 to 796 of the family's 1533-position model. The record is from RNAcentral.
GUGGGGAAUAUUGGACAAUGGGGGGAACCCUGAUCCAGCCAUGCCGCGUGUGUGAAGAAGGCCUUUUGGUUGUAAAGCACUUUAAGCGAGGAGGAGGCUACCGAGAUUAAUACUCUUGGAUAGUGAACGUUACUCGCAGAAUAAGCACCGGCUAACUCUGUGCCAGCAGCCGCGGUCAUACAGAGGGUGCAAGCGUUAAUCGGAUUUACUGGGCGUAAAGCGCGCGUAGGUGGCCAAUUAAGUCAAAUGUGAAAUCCCCGAGCUUAACUUGGGAAUUGCAUUCGAUACUGGUUGGCUAGAGUAUGGGAGAGGAUGGUAGAAUUCCAGGUGUAGCGGUGAAAUGCGUAGAGAUCUGGAGGAAUACCGAUGGCGAAGGCAGCCAUCUGGCCUAAUACUGACACUGAGGUGCGAAAGCAUGGGGAGCAAACAGGAUUAGAAACCCUAGUAGUCC